RNAcentral lists this unclassified non-coding RNA (200 nucleotides) under soil metagenome. RNAcentral's name for it is "partial contains internal transcribed spacer 2 and large subunit ribosomal RNA". The record is from RNAcentral.
UCAUUAUCAACCCUCAAGCCUGGCUUGGUGUUGGACCUUCGUCAUCAAAAGACGGGUCCCAAAGACAAUGACGGAGUCGAGUUGGACCCUAGAUGCAACGAGCUCUCGUAGCACGCAUUGAAGGCCGGCCGCUUUGGUCUUAACCACAUUAUUAUCACAAGGUUGACCUCGGAUCAGGUAGGAAUACCCGCUGAACUUAA